Molecule: ribosomal RNA, 597 nt
Filed under: Pediococcus pentosaceus
Lineage: Bacteria; Bacillati; Bacillota; Bacilli; Lactobacillales; Lactobacillaceae
Description: bacterial SSU rRNA
Rfam family: Bacterial small subunit ribosomal RNA
Source: RNAcentral
UUCAGUGCUGCAGCUAACGCAUUAAGUAAUCCGCCUGGGGAGUACGACCGCAAGGUUGAAACUCAAAAGAAUUGACGGGGGCCCGCACAAGCGGUGGAGCAUGUGGUUUAAUUCGAAGCUACGCGAAGAACCUUACCAGGUCUUGACAUCUUCUGACAGUCUAAGAGAUUAGAGGUUCCCUUCGGGGACAGAAUGACAGGUGGUGCAUGGUUGUCGUCAGCUCGUGUCGUGAGAUGUUGGGUUAAGUCCCGCAACGAGCGCAACCCUUAUUACUAGUUGCCAGCAUUAAGUUGGGCACUCUAGUGAGACUGCCGGUGACAAACCGGAGGAAGGUGGGGACGACGUCAAAUCAUCAUGCCCCUUAUGACCUGGGCUACACACGUGCUACAAUGGAUGGUACAACGAGUCGCGAAACCGCGAGGUUAAGCUAAUCUCUUAAAACCAUUCUCAGUUCGGACUGUAGGCUGCAACUCGCCUACACGAAGUCGGAAUCGCUAGUAAUCGCGGAUCAGCAUGCCGCGGUGAAUACGUUCCCGGGCCUUGUACACACCGCCCGUCACACCAUGAGAGUUUGUAACACCCAAAGCCGGUGGGGUA